UGUUGAGUUAUUCAUCUAUUUGUCGCGC
This 28-nucleotide small RNA is filed under the name Bombyx mori (domestic silkworm). RNAcentral's name for it is "ovarian small RNA-9208". Lineage: Eukaryota; Metazoa; Arthropoda; Insecta; Lepidoptera; Bombycidae. The record is from RNAcentral.